UCGGGAAUCUUGCACAAUGGGCGAAAGCCUGAUGCAGCAACGCCGUGUGGGCGAGGAAGGCCUUCGGGUCGUAAAGCCCUGUUGUUGGGGACGAAGGGCGAAGGGUUAAUAGCCCCUAGCCUGACGGUACCCUUCGAGGAAGCCCCGGCUAACUACGUGCCAGCAGCCGCGGUAAUACGUAGGGGGCGAGCGUUGUCCGGAAUUAUUGGGCGUAAAGAGCGUGUAGGCGGCCCGGUAAGUCUGCCGUGAAAACCUGGGGCUCAACCCCGGGCGUGCGGUGGAUACUGCUGGGCUAGAGGAUGGUAGAGGCGAGUGGAAUUCCCGGUGUAGCGGUGAAAUGCGCAGAGAUCGGGAGGAACACCAGUAGCGAAGGCGGCUCGCUGGGCCGAAACUGACACUCACAGGACGAAAGUUAGGGGAGCGAAAGGGAUUAGAUACCCCUGUAGUCC
RNAcentral lists this ribosomal RNA (449 nucleotides) under uncultured prokaryote. Its description in RNAcentral is "bacterial SSU rRNA". It matches the Rfam family "Bacterial small subunit ribosomal RNA", at positions 355 to 796 of the family's 1533-position model. The record is from RNAcentral.